UCGAGAAUAUUCCACAAUGGGCGAAAGCCUGAUGGAGCGACGCCGCGUGGAGGAUGAAGCAUCUAGGUGUGUAAACUCCUUUUCUACGGGAGAAAGCGCCUUAUGGCGUGUGAUAGUACCGUAGGAAUAAGUGGCUGCAAACUUCGUGCC
Molecule: ribosomal RNA, 150 nt
Filed under: uncultured bacterium
Lineage: Bacteria
Description: partial 16S ribosomal RNA
Rfam family: Bacterial small subunit ribosomal RNA
Source: RNAcentral